GCCGUGUGUGGAGGGGGAGAAUUCCUACGGGUGGGUUUCCGAAUAUUGUGUUCAACUUUUUGAAAGCAGCUCGUGACCCCGAAACUGCAUCCCCCCCGGAGCCGGGGACCCAGGCGCCAGGCGGGCGGGUGAACCCGGCCAGUCCCUCCCAAUCCCCGCAACCCCCCGCCUCCGUGUGUGGGGGGGGGACCCAGGCCUGGAGGAAGGCUGGGCAGGUGCCGAGGGCUGUGCCGAAAGCGCUGAAAUCGAAAACCCUCGCCACUCAGGAAGAAUUGAGGCACAAGGAUUACAGAUGCAGCUCGGGAACAGCCCUGUACUCCAGCCAGUGCCUGGUCGCCCGUGGGCCCACCGGGCUCCGCGGUUCGCUGGCGGCGCCGCCUUGUGAGCGCUAAAGCCGGGAGGAGGGCUCAGGCAAGGCGCGCAGCUCUGAGCGCGCCCCUACCCGCUUCGGCCCGCAGCAGCCGGGACUUGCCUCUCCGCAAGUAAGGCUCUGCGCCGCCCUCUGAGUCCACCUCCAGGCCACAACACUGCCAGCGCUUCUGCAGCUUAGACUGGAAACACUAUGCUGCCUCCCGAAGCCGGGCCAGCUGUAAAUCAGUGAAGCAGCCCAGCUCCUCAAAGAUCCGGAGCUGGCCGACCCCAGACUGAUUCUCAACAGGUGGCUGGGUUACCAAACAGCUUGGACCUUUGAAUCAGAUCUCUGGAGUGAGCACUAAGAACUUGAGCCAUACAGAUCUCAGGGCCUGGCCUUUUCACUCCGCCACGAAGGCUGCUUGAGGGAGGGGAAGAGGUGGCUUCACUCAGCGCCAAAGCACAGAAAAAGGCUGACAGUUAGACUAAUAUUCAUCCUUUAAGAAUAUACUACCUGAAGUUAGUCGCAAGUCAUCUUCAAUCACGGAAAGGAAAAAAAAAACAAAAAAACAAAAAAACCAAACACCUCACAUCUGGAAGAUUCUCUGAAGCCACUUCCAACAGCACCAGAACGAGUGCACUCAGGCCCUGCUCUGUGCACGCCCCAGUGUCUGCUGUCUCGCGGGCAGGUGAAAAUACUGGCUGCCAAGGCCAGAGGAGAGAAGACAGUGGAGGAUUACUUACCGCUAGAGUUGUUUGGAAACUUGUGAUAACUGUUUUCAAUACUCUGCCUCUGCUAUCCAGGUCCUAGGUCCCUCUAGGGACCCUGAAAAGUGGCUUUGCCCCAGGGUGCCUAGAGGGAGACAGUGAUUCGAACUCUGGCUCUCUCCUACUGGGAGCUUAAAGUUGGGGUGAAGGCUUAAGGAGGAGACGAGGGGGCGGGCCCUGCUAGUUUGCAGUGGUAAGCGCAUCUGUGCCUAGGUCGCCAAAAGGUUCCCUGAGGUUAACUAUGGAGCCUCGGCUCUCUCCUGAGACCCAGGGCAACACAGAUGAUGGUGGUCGGUAUGUCAGUCUAAAUGUCACAAGACUUCACUGGUCUCUUAUUUUGGCUGUUUGUAGCUACUCUCUGCCAGGGAGGUUCUAGAAGCUAUUCACACCCGUCCUGAAUCUAUCCUGUGAGGUGGCAGAGGGUAGCUUGUUUUUGUAAAGGUUAGCAUAAUACUUAGUAGGAAGAAUACACUAGAGGAAGGUGUGAAAAAAGCCUAGGACUCUCAAACUUACCAACCUUACAGCCCACCCAAAGCCCAGAACCUCCCCUUGCACACCUCCUCUCCCCAAGACAGAUCCAUCUGGUGUUCACGGAAGGUAUUCACACUGCAAGUGUCUGGGAACACACUUAGGAAAAUUAUAGGAACUGGAGGAAUAAAGUACUUUAUUCCUCAGUACUGGAGGAAUAAAGAUAUGUCCAAGGAAUGGAUCGAAUGCAUGGACACUCACCCUGUCGUCCAGGAUGCAGACAAAAACUACUUUGUCCACAUGGGUACUUUCUACAAGAUAUCCAGUGACCCUGGAGAAAGAAACUUCGUUGAAUCUUCUGUAUGGAAUGUUUCAGGCCACGUUCUGAAGAAAGGGCCAAGGAAUCCUCUAUCCCAGAGGCUCCCUUUGGGUUCUCCUACCUGCUCUGUUGGAGACACCCAGAAGAGGGCAAUACAGGAAGGUUCCUUUUUGCUUCAGUUAUUUCUGUUGGUUGUCUUUUUCACCCUUUGCCUGGGAAAUUGUGCUCUGGAAUAGGGCUUGAGUAAACAGCACAGAUGGCCUCCACUACAUGACAAGAGAUUCUCAAUUUCCAGAUAAGGGAAAGCCCUGUUUUGUCCCCUUUUCUCCUCUGUGGUCUGAAAAAACAAAAAACAAAAAACAACCCUAUAGCCCAACCCCGUGUACAUCAAACAAACCCACAAGGAAUAUGCUAGACCAAGAUAGUUAUAUAUUUUACUAAUUUUCUUUUGUGAGAUAGUGAGAAGUCUUCAACUUCCUCUAUUCCAGGCAGGGAUUGAGGCCCUAGCCUGAAAGAGACCUCACCAACCGGGUUUCCACAGUGAUUCUGGGGCUCGGCUUAAGGUUGCUUUUCUCUCACCCCCGAAUGGGGAGUCACCUGCUGAUGCACGUCAGGAGAGCCUGAAGAAGUGAGGUGAACACAGACACAGCACCCUCAGAGCCAACUGUGACUUCGGUUGCUUCUAGCUAGGAUUCGGAACAGGAAGGAACCGGUUGUCUUUGAACACCCUCUACUUCUCAUCAACGCUCCAGAGAUGGGUCCUCACCUCCCAAGGUGCCUUCACUCCCAGAGGGCCCGGGCUCUCUGCCACAGCCCAACACUGGGCUUGCGCUCAGAGAGAAGGAAUAAGUGCUCUGAGGUUUGAACUCUGAAGUAUAAACUUACUCUGGCUGUGGUGGCAUAGACUUGUGGUACGUCAGCAGUCCACGGUCAGCCUUGUCUACAUAGCAAGUUUAAGGCCAGUCUGGACUACAUGAGACCAUGUCUGAAAAAAAGAAAAGCCCCAAGUGGAAAACGGAAAGCAGAAAAGAGAAUAUUCCUAGUGCGACAAGAAAUGUUCACCUCUCUCGAUGAUUUCUCUGCAGAAUGUGUUUAUAUGCUACGUCCACAGACCUGAUCACUUGUGCUGUUGCUAAAAAUAAAGAAGAAGAAGG
RNAcentral lists this small RNA (3060 nucleotides) under Rattus norvegicus (Norway rat). RNAcentral describes it as "uncharacterized LOC108351167". The record is from RNAcentral. Lineage: Eukaryota; Metazoa; Chordata; Mammalia; Rodentia; Muridae.